GAUGAACGCUGGCGGCGUGCCUAAUACAUGCAAGUCGAGCGAACGGACGAGAAGCUUGCUUCUCUGAUGUUAGCGGCGGACGGGUGAGUAACACGUGGAUAACCUACCUAUAAGACUGGGAUAACUUCGGGAAACCGGAGCUAAUACCGGAUAAUAUUUUGAACCGCAUGGUUCAAAAGUGAAAGACGGUCUUGCUGUCACUUAUAGAUGGAUCCGCGCUGCAUUAGCUAGUUGGUAAGGUAACGGCUUACCAAGGCAACGAUGCAUAGCCGACCUGAGAGGGUGAUCGGCCACACUGGAACUGAGACACGGUCCAGACUCCUACGGGAGGCAGCAGUAGGGAAUCUUCCGCAAUGGGCGAAAGCCUGACGGAGCAACGCCGCGUGAGUGAUGAAGGUCUUCGGAUCGUAAAACUCUGUUAUUAGGGAAGACCAUAUGUGUAAGUAACUGUGCACAUCUUGACGGUACCUAAUCAAAAAGCCACGGCUAACUACGUG
Molecule: ribosomal RNA, 497 nt
Filed under: uncultured bacterium
Lineage: Bacteria
Description: partial 16S ribosomal RNA
Rfam family: Bacterial small subunit ribosomal RNA
Source: RNAcentral